Molecule: transfer RNA, 84 nt
Filed under: Ignavibacteria bacterium CG1_02_37_35
Lineage: Bacteria; Pseudomonadati; Ignavibacteriota; Ignavibacteria
Also listed under: 7 other names
Description: tRNA-Leu
Rfam family: tRNA
About the family: Transfer RNA (tRNA) molecules are approximately 80 nucleotides in length. Their secondary structure includes four short double-helical elements and three loops (D, anti-codon, and T loops). Further hydrogen bonds mediate the characteristic L-shaped molecular structure. tRNAs have two regions of fundamental functional importance: the anti-codon, which is responsible for specific mRNA codon recognition, and the 3' end, to which the tRNAs corresponding amino acid is attached (by aminoacyl-tRNA synthetases). tRNAs cope with the degeneracy of the genetic code in two manners: having more than one tRNA (with a specific anti-codon) for a particular amino acid; and 'wobble' base-pairing, i.e. permitting non-standard base-pairing at the 3rd anti-codon position.
Source: RNAcentral
GCGGAAGUGGUGAAAUUGGUAGACACGCUACUUUGAGGGGGUAGUGCUCGAAAGGGCGUAGGGGUUCAAGUCCCCUCUUCCGCA